CCUACGGGGGGCAGCAGUGGGGAAUAUUGCACAAUGGGCGCAAGCCUGAUGCAGCCAUGCCGCGUGCAUGAAGAAGGCCUUCGGGUUGUAAAGUACUUUUAGCGGGGAGGAAGGCGAUAAGGUUAAUAACCUUGUCGAUUGACGUUACCCGCAGAAGAAGCACCGGCUAACUCCGUGCCAGCAGCCGCGGUAAUACGGAGGGUGCAAGCGUUAAUCGGAAUUACUGGGCGUAAAGCGCACGCAGGCGGUCUGUCAAGUCGGAUGUGAAAUCCCCGGGCUCAACCUGGGAACUGCAUUCGAAACUGGCAGGCUAGAGUCUUGUAGAGGGGGGUAGAAUUCCAGGUGUAGCGGUGAAAUGCGUAGAGAUCUGGAGGAAUACCGGUGGCGAAGGCGGCCCCCUGGACAAAGACUGACGCUCAGGUGCGAAAGCGUGGGGGGCAAACAGGAUUAGAUACCCCAGUAGUC
This 465-nucleotide ribosomal RNA is filed under the name uncultured bacterium. Its description in RNAcentral is "bacterial SSU rRNA". It matches the Rfam family "Bacterial small subunit ribosomal RNA", at positions 338 to 795 of the family's 1533-position model. The record is from RNAcentral.